GGAUUUUCAAAUAUAUCCAGUAAAAUUGGAAUGAUACAGAAAAGAUUAGCAUGACCUUGUGCAAGGAUAACAUGCACAAACUGAAGAAUGGUCUAAAUUUUU
Molecule: small nuclear RNA, 102 nt
Organism: Nymphaea colorata (pocket water lily)
Lineage: Eukaryota; Viridiplantae; Streptophyta; Magnoliopsida; Nymphaeales; Nymphaeaceae
Source: RefSeq, a predicted model, not a curated record